Molecule: long non-coding RNA, 1527 nt
Organism: Chinchilla lanigera (long-tailed chinchilla)
Lineage: Eukaryota; Metazoa; Chordata; Mammalia; Rodentia; Chinchillidae
Exons: 3
Source: RefSeq, a predicted model, not a curated record
GCUUCUUUCAGAAAUAGGUACAGAACAGACUCUUUUGGAAACCUCCAUAACAUGCACUUCCUUGACCUCAGAGUAAUCUGGAUGAAUCAUGUGACUUCAGUUCUAUUUGGUGUUGCAAGCUUAUGCAACUCCUGUAAUCCCUGAACUAUGUCAUGUUAAUGUGAAACUUAACUCGCACAGGAGAUAGAGACAUAGCUUUGUCACAGUUCCCAAGCUGCAACAUUUUAGGCUUCUCAUAAUUCUUUUACACUUCACACAUACCAAUAAUAACUACAGCUAGGAUUAAUAUGGGUAAUUGGCUACUUUCCAAAAUUCAAUUGUUUCAUUUCUUACUUGUUAAUAUGUAGAGAAUCUUGGCAAAAUUACCCAAAGAUUUUUUAAGUAUUACAUAUUUGGGAGAGAUUUUUGAGGGCUCUUGUGCUUUCUUAUUCUUCUCUGUGCUUAUGAUAAUGAACACAGGCAAACAAAUGCCAUGCAUUUUUCAGUAGGUAUUUUAUUUAUCUAACCUAAUAAAUUAAUGUGGUUUUGAAAAUAGGACAAAAGUGAAAAAUGAUAACCAAAAGCAUUGUGUCAAAAGUCUGGUCAAAUCAACUGCCCAGAAACCGGCUAUGAGACACAGAACUAAUUAGGCACGGCAUUUCUGGGGAAACUCUUCGUGUGUACCCACUCUUCACAGAGAAGAUGCACUUUCAGAAGGAGAGUGCCUUCUCCCAAGGGGAAAGAUUAUGAAUUUAAGUUGGCUGUGUUAAUUUUGAGGUCACUUUGAGGACCCCAUGAGAGUAUAAAUAUUAGUUACUUGGUUAUAUGGUUAUGGGGCUCAAAGAACAAACUUAAUUGCACAUACAUCUUUUCCUACGUGUUCUAAACAAUUUAGGACCAAUUCAAGGAGAUACAUGAAGAUUCAAGUCCAGGAUCAGCAUUAUACUGAAACUACUACACCGUCAAGGUGGCAUCUGUGAUUGUUAUUUACUGCAAUAUCCCUAACUCCUAAGAUGGAAAACUUGACAAAUCAAUGGUGAACAUUAGGUGUUUUAGUGAAGAGAAUUGUCAGAGGAUGUUCUUGGAAAGAAAUAAGGAAAUCCAAUUGGGGCAGAUCCAUAAUGCAGGUACAGUUAGAUUUGAUCAAAUGUCAUCCGAUCUCCUAGAGGUCGAUGCAGCUGGAAUGAAUUUUCAUGGCUGUCUUGAACUGAAUCAAAGCAUCACGGCUUUUGUCUCUCUGCACCAGCCAGACACGGGACACAAGCCACCCUGGAAAGGGGGACAGUAUCCGGGGAAUUGUAGGGGAAGGGGUCUAUGGAUAAGAAAGUAAAAUAGGCUCCUCCUUAGGUCUUCUAGCUAAUCCUGACUAGGAGGAAUUAAAAACAAACUUUACUAGAAAGAUUCCCCUAGGAAGCAGGUCAAGACAGGAAUAAAAAAGAGAAAAACCAGAUGAAGAAAGGUACCAAAUGGCCUUGGGAUUUGCACCAGGAGACGAGAAAAUGAGCUGACAGGAAGAGCACAGAGAGAAAGCAAAGUGCACAAGUAAGA